This 2038-nucleotide non-coding RNA is filed under the name Pongo abelii (Sumatran orangutan). The record is from RNAcentral. Lineage: Eukaryota; Metazoa; Chordata; Mammalia; Primates; Hominidae.
GCCUGACGCUCCUUGUUUGCCGGUUGCUGUUACAGACUUGCAAUUGUGCAACUCUGUGAUGUAAACAGGCAGGCUUUGUAUUUUUGCUGUGCCCCUGGAGAAUGGAGAGGGUGGUUCUCUUGGCUGUCUCUGGAACAAAUUUGGAGGAAAGGUCCUGUGAGGGUACAGUGAGAAGAUGGCCAUCUACAAGCCAGGAAGAAAGGCCUAACAGGAAACCAACUCUGCUGGCGCCUUGAUCGUGAACUCCUGCCCUCUAGAACUGGGAGAAAAUAAACGUCUGUUUUUUAAGCCACCUGGUCUGUGGUAUUUUGUUAUGGAAGCCCGAGCAGACCAAUAUGCAUACUAAACUCCAAGUCAAGGAAUAGAAUUAGUCAGUUCGUGGUGGAGUUGCAUUGAUGAUUCCAGAGCGAUUCCUGCUCCUCUUCUUUAAGCCAGUGUGUUUUACCAAAGAUUUUCAGGACAAAGAAAAAUCCAGGCAGUAGGUGCCAAAUACAGUGACUCAUCAGAUGACCUUGCUGUUUAUCUCCAACAUUUUCAUGAACAGCUUUCAAGGAAUGAAGGAAGGAAAUGUUCUGUGUCCAUAAAGUAGGAUUGGAAACAGUUGACUUGUAUGAACAUGGCCAACACAAAAUAGUCCAGGGGGAUGUGGAAUAUUUGAGGAGAACAACAUUAGACUGAGAAAUUAUGACAGUCAGGAAAAGAAAAAUUGUACCAAAUAUCAAAGGACAUGAGUUUUUUUCAACAGAAAACUAAAGAGAUAGAUGGAACCUGUGAGUUCACUUCUAAAGGAGCAUUAAAAAAAAAUGAAACCUAGGAAAAUUUCUGGGAAGAACAUCAUUAUAAGGAGUGGAAAUAUAGUUUUCUUGAAGCAUUAGAUGCAACCAAUGAUGCUAUAAUGCAUGCUUGUUUAAGGGUUCUGGUAAAACAGUAUGGUUGUUAAAAGAUAAGCUCCAGAAUUUGAGACAGCAUAGAUGACAAGUUACAGAGAAACAUCUUGAAUAAAACUGCAGAAGUUGUUCAUGGGUAGGAUUUAUGGUAGAUCCUUGGAGACAGGGAGGACCCUUCUGAAUUCAGCAAAGCCAACAUAGCUUUAAUUACCAAGAAAAAGAGGAGUUGCAGAUUAGAAAAAUUUGACUCUGGUGAUAGGAAAAGUCACAGAAACUUGAUAUGAAAUAAGAUAAUAAACCAGAUGGAGAAAUAUGACUGAUAGAGCUAUAAGAAGUCUCAACUGUUUAAUUAAAAUAAACUCAUUUUGCUAAUGAGUUAGAUAUUUUUUUUGAAAAGGGAACGGAGAAGACAAGAAAAACUUCGUUAUAUUUCAGGAGCAAUCUGUCUCACCUGCUACACAAGGAAUAUUGCUAUGUGAAAACAAAGGUUUACUCAGCAAUCAUUCAGUGAUGGCGUUCCAAAUUUUCAGUUAUUUAUUUCCUUGCGUUGGAGUGAAUAAGAGUAAAUAACAAACAUAGUACUGACCAAUCAUCCUUAUCCAGCUGGAGCUGGUGAGACAGCAGAUUGCAAAAAUAUCAUUCAUUUAUCCAACAAACAAUGGUAGAAAGUUUAUGUGCCAAAUCCUGUGUUGGACACUAGAAAUUCAAAGAUCAGUAAGACAUUGCACCUCGAUGAGUUUACCAUGUGGGAGAGAUACAUAAUGCCAUAAUUACCAUCUAAUAUGACAAUAGAGCCCUCCUCACCAGUCUAUGGAGACAAAGAUAGACACUUAAUGCAGCUCGAAAGAGAGAAGUGACCAGUCAAGCCUUCCUUGGUUAGAGAGAUCCCAGCCAUGUUUAGAGUGACAGCAAAGAUUUCAGUGAUUUGGGAAAGAAGAGAGAUGCUUCACAUUUUAAGCACAAGAUAGUUUUCAGGGUGCAGAGAAGAGUAAUUUUUCUAAGGACCCAGAGGAUCCAGUAGACCUCUGUGGAUCAGGACACCUGGGAGAGUCCCAGACAUCAGGUCGACUGGAAGGUUCUUCCCCAACCAGGGCAUAUUCCAAGGCUCCAAGGCUCCAGCUCUCAGAAAGCUUUGGGGAAUGUUCUAACAG